AGGACGAACGCUGGCGGCGUGCUUAACACAUGCAAGUCGAACGAGAACCUCCCUUCGGGGAGGGGACAGUGGCGCACGGGUGAGUAACACGUGGGUAAUUUACCUUUGGGUGGGGAACAACAGCCGGAAACGGCUGCUAAUACCGCAUAAUGCAGCGGCUCGACAUCGAGACAGUUGUUAAAGCGGGGGAUCGCAAGACCUCGCGCCUAAAGAGAAGCCCGCGGCAGAUUAGCUAGUUGGUAGGUAAUGGCCUACCAAGGCGACGAUCU
This 269-nucleotide ribosomal RNA is filed under the name uncultured bacterium. Its description in RNAcentral is "partial small subunit ribosomal RNA". It matches the Rfam family "Bacterial small subunit ribosomal RNA", at positions 26 to 282 of the family's 1533-position model. The record is from RNAcentral.